This 620-nucleotide ribosomal RNA is filed under the name Fusarium avenaceum. RNAcentral describes it as "partial 28S ribosomal RNA". The stretch from base 1 to 115 matches the Rfam family "Eukaryotic large subunit ribosomal RNA", at positions 3288 to 3401 of the family's 3401-position model. The record is from RNAcentral. Lineage: Eukaryota; Fungi; Ascomycota; Sordariomycetes; Hypocreales; Nectriaceae.
GAGCGGGGUCAAAUCCUUUGCAGACGACUUAGCUGUGCGAAACGGUCCUGUAAGCAGUAGAGUAGCCUUGUUGUUACGAUCUGCUGAGGGUAAGCCGUCCUUCGCCUCGAUUUCCCCAAUGAUUUCUCUGAGCAAUUCAGGGAGUUGUAGGGGUUGUGGGCUUUUGGUUUUUGAUGUGUCGUCUCCGGGCGGCUGGUGCAGGGUAAGCAGGUUUGACUUGGUGAAAAUCGGUUGAGCGUAUCGAGCGGUCGGGAACCCAGUCUUGUGCUGCUGCGUGCCUCGAGGGGUGUAGGGUAGGCUGGUUGAACUUGGUCGACUUGGAUGUCGGCUCAUGCGUAUUCGCCUGUGGGAGGGCAGUAUAGGGUAGGCCAGUUCAUCUUUGUCGAGUUGGAUGUCGGCUUGGGGGUUGACCUGUGCGGGUGGUCUGGUAUAGGGUAGGCUACUUCCUAUGUGAGCGCGCAGCUGUCCGUUUCCCUCGGCUACCGGGUAGGCAGCUUUGACUUGGGCGAUUUGGGGGUCUGAGGUGCAGGGUAGACUAGUUAGACAGCUCUAGGGUAGGUGCUGAUACAGGGUAGGCGGUCCUAUAUAGCCUGCAGAGGGUAUAGGAUAGGCGAGUACAG